Molecule: long non-coding RNA, 334 nt
Organism: Asterias rubens (European starfish)
Lineage: Eukaryota; Metazoa; Echinodermata; Asteroidea; Forcipulatida; Asteriidae
Exons: 3
Source: RefSeq, a predicted model, not a curated record
ACUGAGUCUACUACUACCCCAAGUACCACCACUGAGUCUACUCCUACCCCAAGUACCACCACUGAUAUUCCUGACUUACCAUCACCAUCUACCUGUCCUUACGCAUCAGUGCAAACUAACUGUAGUGUAAAAUGUCGCCAGCAUGUGUGCCCAGAAAUUAGCAAUGAGUGUCAACCAAACAAUUUUACGGACCCCGAAGGAGAAGAAUUUUGCUGUGAAUGCUCUCAAGAAACUCAGUUUAAUGGUAGCCAUUGCGUACUGAAGUGUGACUGUAUACAGAACAAUUGCUAUACAACAACCAUUGCAACAACAACAGCAAGCACAACAAAAUCAG